Hydractinia symbiolongicarpus is the source of this 4177-nucleotide long non-coding RNA. RefSeq lists it as uncharacterized. The transcript is spliced from 2 exons. The record is from RefSeq and is a predicted model, not a curated record. Lineage: Eukaryota; Metazoa; Cnidaria; Hydrozoa; Anthoathecata; Hydractiniidae.
GAUCUGAGCGACGCGUCGGUUUACGUGAAUGUCUCGGGGCGAGAAACACGGCGAAAGGUGUUUGUGUGCCCGCGAACAGGAAAAUAUACCAGCAGGUAGCAGUCACUGAUGCUUACUGCCCUUGUUCUGUUAAUAAUCCAUGGGAGUAGCUCAUUUUGACCCAGUUGUAAAUAAAAGAAGUGCUGCAAUGAACAGUUCUGAUAACAAAUCAAAGUUGGACGCAAAAUGCGCUGUUUUGAAAUUUGCCCUGUCGUUUGUCCCAGGAUUUAUGAAAAUUAAUUCAACAGUUGAAGGGUUGAAAUAAAUCCGACAAAAUAGGUAUCUAUGUAAUGUGUUAAGUAAGCUAAGAUGUUUUCCCGCCACAUUCCAGUUAAUUUAACUUUACUUUUCUACCAACUUCGUCCUUAGGGGGUUUUUCUUGUUUGAUAUCCACACCGUUAAGUAAGCGCUAGCGGCUAUGACAUAGGCAACAGAACCUAGGGACGAGAAUUCUUUUCUAUAUUUUAAGAAUCAGUUUAAAACAAAACUUUGCUUUCAUUUUGGUACAUGGAAAAAACAGUGAAAUAUCGAUCCUGUUUUCAAACUAAUCUUAGACUUAACAAGAAUGCGUCACGAGAAAAAGAUCAGAAUUCCUACAUUCAUAGCAGGAGCAAAUUAAUUGGCAGUUCGCUUACACUUUUUUUUGGAAGGGAUGUACUUUAUUUUAUACUAUUUCAGCCUUCAAUGUCUUGUUGUGUUCUUCAGAAAAAUUGCAAAAUCCAUUUUCAUAAUUUAAUGCCAGUUGCGAAACUCAUUUUCAAAGUUAUUGUUAGUUCUAUACUACGUUAUUUUGUUUUUAUUAUCUAUGAAGAAAUUCUGACUAAGAAUUUCCUUAACAUGUUCUUUAUUUUUGACACAAUCUUCAUCUCAAAGUGUUUUAAUACAACCUUCUUAUCAAAAUAUUAUCUUUUUUUGUUUAUGAAAAGCAAAACAAAUAUUCCGUGAAGCGUGUAUUUUGUGUAUAACUUUUAGUUUUAUAAACAACCCAAAAAUUUUGCUGAUCCUAAACUGUUCCUCACUUGUUUCUUCUUGACUAUCUAUCUACAAACGAAAGACGGCAGACCAUUUGGAACCAUGCCACAAGUCAGUCCGACCUUCAUCGUCACAGAGAAUACUGCGAGAAGAGUGCGCACCCAUGCAAGUUAAAUAAAACCAGAACAUGGGAGAGGUUAGGUGCUGUGAAAUUAACUUUUUAGACGAAUGUUCCUAUAAACAAUUAUCAUACCGAGGAGUGUGCUUGGGAUGGGUCGUUAGCUUAAUUAUUUGUUUUAUAUAAUAUUUUUAACUCUUUUUACUUUCGUCUGCCUGACCACAUGAUAUGUUUAAAGUUCAUAUCGCUUUACUUACGUAAAAGCCCAUAAUGACUGUAAUUGAAUAUGUUUUGUUUUUAGUUUCGUGUAUUAGACCACGAUAUUGUCUAUGCGUAAAAUCAUCUAGCGCAAACACACUCCUUCGUAAAAUUCAAAAAUAAUAAAUCUUUUUUAGUACACACAUAUUUUGUAUUCAUCUGUCAGAAAACUUACCUUAUUGUUUUCAUUGCACGCUCGCUUCUAUUAUUUAGGCUUCUUUAUGAUUGAAUCCAAGUCCCCAAUCUCUGUAAUUAAAAGAAAACAAUCCAUCACUAUUACUUUUUUUCGGUUACCCUGACAACUUAUCGCUAUCACUUUCGUCUACUUGACCAUAUAAUGACGUAUAUUCAUUAUACGCAUUGUGAUCAAAUGUUUAUUUGAUCACAAUGACACUAGCCAUUUAAACAUUUACGGUUUCAAGCUUUUUUAAUUUUCUGAUACAUGGGAUAAAAAAUAAUAUUAAAUAAUAUACGUUAAUGAUAUAAUACAAAUUUUUAAUUUUCAAUAGAAGUACGUGCUCUUUCUUCGUAUAUGCUAAGAAAGGAGAAGUUUGGAAUGCAAAUAAGUUCAAGUGUUUAUUUAUUUAGUUACACAUCUUGUCAUAACCAUUGUCAUAAGAUGACAAUAAGUCAUCAUUUUUUAAUUUUUCACACUAUCUUACACAACGUUUUUGUCAUCAACUAAUUUUUUUUGGAACGUAUGUGAAAAUACAGUACCAGUGUUUUAACUCUGCUCCCCUCCAUAACUUUUAAUAGGCUUUUCCAAGUGCGACUAAACUUGAUACAAAAUGGAUGCAGUGGUACCUGCUUUAAAUUUAAUUCCUUUAAUUUUUAAUGAUAGGCAAACUCGUUAUUUAAAUUAUUUUUUCUUUUUUAAUUUUCGAAGAAAAUCCGAAAAAAUCGGGAAGUCGGGUUAAUAAAUACAAAACAAAAUUAUUCCCCUUGACGAAAUAUAGUUGUGUUAAGAGUUUAAUGUUUUUAAGAUAAGAAUUUCUUUUAAAUAUAAGGGGUAUUUUUGAGUAAUAGCCAAUACAUACCACUCUGAGAGGGUUAAAAAGGUUUUUUGGUACUCCGUUUUUGCUAAGCAAUAAAUAGGGCGACUUUUUGUUUGAAAUUUAUAUCUAUUCAAGUGUUUAUUUGUUUAAUUGCACACAGCUUAUCAUAAGAUGGCAUAAGUCAGUUCUUGUACUUUCUGUAUCGAUUUCUCUUAUCAAAAUCUAUACUUGACAGAACUUUCGCUAUUUUAUUGAAACUUGCCAUUUCAUUUUCCAAUAUCCUAUAAUUACAGUUUCUAUAACCCGUCAUGACAACAACAAUGACAAUAAGUUUGUACUUUUGUUUUAUUUUCAACGUCAACUUAGACCAAACAGACUAAGCAUAAACAAAAUAGAACAAAAUUCAAUGCAAAUAAAAGAAGUUGUCUGGAAUGUAAACAUAUAUAAGUGUUGAUUUGCUUUCUUACGUAACAUUUGUCAUGAGAUAAUGACAACACAAUUACUGUACUUUGUACCUAGUACUCUUCUCACGAACUAAGUUUAUAAUUCACUUUCCGUAUUGCUUUGGAGUUUUAAAAAGAUAGGAAAAUCGCUUAAACUUUCUUGUUGGAUAUCCAUAGCUCAAAAGAUUAUUUAAGACAUCAGAUGCUCUUACGUUUUUAAACUUAUCCACAAACUUGUAAGACUGGAAAGUAUCAAAAAUUAUAUUCAGGUUUAAACUAAAGACAAACAAACAAACAAACGAAGAGAAAAAGAAAGAAAAAUAAAAAUAAUAAAUUGGUAAACUUGCCUUUUUUUGACUUGUCUUUUAUUUCAAAAAUCUGUAUGGCUUUCCUCACUGAAUGGUAAAGUUUUUUUCUAACAAUUGACCAACCCCGUCUGAUUUUAUAGAUUGUCACGAGUUCUAUGAUUGGUUUCAUAAAAAGCCAUCUCUUUGUUCACAAUUUUAUAAAAACAUUCCCUAUUAACGUAAUACAAAACCAAUUGUGAAUGUGAUAACCAAUCAAAUCCAUUUUCAUAUUUACGGUAGCCGUUUAUUAUUGUAAACAGAGAUCACAUGAUUACAGCAUUUUUUUUAGCUCUGCUAUGAUUAAGAUUACCAUGGUACAUUAUCCGUUAUUAUAUCUUUUGUUAACUUACCUUAUCGAUAAGGAAAGGUGGUUAAAAAGUGACCACAUGUUUGCUAGGCAACCAUUGUUUUUUCCGGUUCUUAUUUGGCAUUUCUUAUUUUCUGCCCAAUUUUUUUUGCCUAAUUUUCAAUUCAGUAUCUACAUGUGAAACCACAACAGCAAUAAAAAAAACAUAAAAAACAGAUUGGUAUCAGUCUCUGUGCUAACUAACGUGACCAGUGAGUGUAGUUGAGCAGAGGGAAAUGGAAGCGGAAAAUAUGUUUAAAUGAAAGAAAAAGAAAAAUUAAUUAUUAAAAUUGACAGAUUUAUAGACAGACUUCUUUGUCCUCUUCUUUAAACAUCUUAUAGAGGAAAAAGGCAUUGGAAAUUCAAACUUUUGUUUUGUUUUAAAAAAGCGUGAAUCGUCAUUCAUAUUUUUAUUCAUAUAACUUAACGCAACAAGAUGGAAAGAAAUAUCACAAUUGUAAACACGACAUAUAUGUUAACAUUCCAUGUAUUUUGAAAUGGUCUUAGCUGUCAAAUUUAGAAAAACAUUUAAUAUGUGUGUAAUCUCUAUAAAUCUAGGAAACCAGCGCAUAAAAGAUCCGUUUUUUAAGUUGUACAAAGUUAAACACUUUGAAAAGCUUUAUUAGCCAGAAUCACACUGAGUAGUAUGGAAAAAUAUG